UGUUUCCCUGGCUGGCCCGGAAUCUACUGUGUAGAUCAGGCUAGCCUCUAACCCACAGAGAUCUGUGUCUUAAACACUGUGAUUAAAGGUAUGGCACUCGGGAGGCAGAGGCAGGCGGAUCUCUGUGAGGACAGCCUGGUCUACAGAACAAGCUCAAGGACAUGCUCCAAAGCUGCAAAGAGAAACCAUGUCUUGAAAAACAAAGAAAGAAAGAAACAAACAAGGAUCUGUUGACAGACUGGAGUUCAAGUAGAUUAUGCCAGCAAAGACUGCAUCUCCCUGCAUCGGCCUCUCCUAUACUGGCAUGACAAGCAUGUGUCACCACACCCAGCCCCACACACCAUUGGUUUUCCAGAAUGAACUCAGAUCUCAAGCAAACAAGGUGAGCACUU
This 392-nucleotide long non-coding RNA is filed under the name Cricetulus griseus (Chinese hamster). RNAcentral describes it as "lncRNA (ENSCGRG00000024622.1)". Lineage: Eukaryota; Metazoa; Chordata; Mammalia; Rodentia; Cricetidae. The record is from RNAcentral.